RNAcentral lists this microRNA (19 nucleotides) under Ciona intestinalis (vase tunicate). RNAcentral's name for it is "cin-miR-4001b-2-3p". Lineage: Eukaryota; Metazoa; Chordata; Ascidiacea; Phlebobranchia; Cionidae. The record is from miRBase by way of RNAcentral.
GUCUGUUUUACCAAGGUCC